Cyprinus carpio carpio is the source of this 4965-nucleotide long non-coding RNA. NCBI's taxonomy places the organism in Eukaryota, Metazoa, Chordata, Actinopteri, Cypriniformes, Cyprinidae. The record is from Ensembl.
GGUUUGAACGAUCUGACAGCACGUCUCUGAUUGGUCAUCAUAUCGAGAGGCAGUAACAAUGCAUCACCAUCAGAGUGACUCUGACUCCAGUGAUGACAGCAUGAAACAUCCUGCUUUUAUGACAUCCACAAUGGAAUCACAGAGACACCGGCGCAGUAUGGACAAACCGACUGAAGAGCUAUCUGACAUUACUCAUCUCCAAGAAGAAUUUUACAGACUCCAUGAGGAAAUUUCUCCUGAAUGCAAAAAGCAUAUAAAGAAAAUGACUGAUGUCGUCAAUGAGUUUGAAAAAGAUUACAGACAUGCUUCUUGCCUCAUUGAUGCUGGAAUCGCUGGCUUGGUUUUAGGAUUAGCUUUAGCUGCAUUUACUGGAGGGGCUUCUCUCAUUGCCGGUGGAUUAGGGUUAGUUGUUGGGAUAGCUGCUGGUGGUGCUGCUGCAGGUGGUGGAAUUGCUUGUGGUAUUGGAGAAUUCAGUAAAAAUCAGCAGGAAAAGAUGACAAGACUAACCAUAGAAAAAGAACUUGAGGAAUUUCAGUAUAAAAUCAGCCCUAUUAUUAAAAUGGUAGUGAAGAUUUAUGCUCGUACUCAGGAAAUACUGAGAGACCCUACGCUAUCAGAGCACAAAGCCAAUGUACUACGUGAACGUUUCUCCUCCUGCUUUGAAAAAACACAGUUCUUCCAGAGAGAUAGCAGUAGAGCAGCGGGUGCACGGAAACAAUUGACUGGAGAUCUUUCAGAAACUUUUGCUGAGAUGAGUUCUGUGCUUACAAAUCUGGAAGAGAUCACCGAAGACAAAGAGGAGCAAGAUGACAAUGACAACCCUGAAGAAACACCCGCACAAAAACAAAUAGAGGACAAAGAGUUCAAGAAAAAAGCAGAGAAAUUCAUUGAUGAAAUGAAGAAAGGUAUUAAUCAGUUACAGAAUGUCAUGAAUGAAAUUGAUCAAACAAAACAAAGACUAUUAAAAAAAUGAAUCAAAUCUGAUGAAAUAAAACUAUGUGAACAGUUGAGACACAACUUGUUAUUUGAUCACAUGACAGAAAACAACAGUCCAUCUAACAACAUCUCAAUGUAUUGAAUGAUAUAAACAUCCAAUUAUCCUACAGUGAUUAAUGUAAUAAAAAUGUACCUGUUAAUUAUAUCAGGUCUAUCAGGUAUGUCAGAAUUAUACAGGAAAUAGCUAUACUGGAUGUGCAGAAACUUACACUGAUUACAUUGAUUUUGCUCUGCAUUAUUUUUUAUGUAUAUACUUUGCUUUAUUUUUAUUAUUAUUAUUUUUUAACUUUCAUUACGCUGAGAUGUAUUAAAAUGUACAUACAAAAAUAAAGUAAUUACAAACAGAAUAAAGUAAUUCUCUUUAAAUCUUAAUGGUCUUUUCUGGUUUAAUUAAUUGUAUUGAGUGUAGAUGUAUCACACUUAUGAAAUAUUAUCAUCCAUGUAGUACAUUUCAUUUUCAAAGUCCACUGGAUGACGCUCAAGAGCAGGUGAAAUGAACUCUGACCUCUGAUAUUUCUGAUUAUAGUCUCUUCAGUGAAUUCACAAAUCUCCUUCUGCUCCUGACUCUCCCUUCACUUACAGUAAAUUCAUCAUUAGUACUAAGAUUUGUUUUGUCAUCAGUCUGCAAUCCAAUCUGAGUUAAAUUAAAAAUUUGUCCUGGCACUUCCAAGUGGUUUAAUGUCAGUAGGCAGGUCUAUUUAUUUAUUUAUAUUUAAAGUGCAUCCAUCCAUCCAUCCAUGAAACAUGCCUCACACAGCUCUGGGGGGGUGAAUAAAGGACUCCUGUAGCAAAAUGAUGCAUUUUUGUAAGAUGAGUAUCCAUAUUUAAAACGUGAUAAAAACUUUUUUCUCAGUUCCGCUGACUAUCAUAUGUGCAAACCACUUCGGGCGGAUGAUGCAUAUGACGUAUGUGCAACGCACGUGUCUGUGACAUAUGCUAGUUUCACAAGUUUGUUUACAGGAGCAAAGGAAGCAAAAUUUCCUUACUUAAGCAAAGGAAAAACAGGCUCCUCUUGGCUUAUAUUGAAAUCCUCCAACAUUUUUCUUUACAAAUCCUCAUUUUGUGUUUGUGUUUGACACUAAUCACCGGUGCAUGCAUGACUCCUAUAUCCUGCGUCAUCCAUCCGGAACAGCUCUCACGCAAGUGAGAGGAAAGUGUUCAUAACGUUUUAAAUAUGAAUAUUUUUCUAACAAAAACGCAUGGACUCGCUACAGGAGGCCUUUAUUCACCCCCCGGAGCCGUGUGAGGCACUUUGUAUUAUGGAUGGAUGAACUUUUUUGCAGAUAAAAGUUUAUCAGCAUGCAUUGAUUAAUCCCAUGUUGUACUUGUGUAAAAACUUGUGCUCCUGUGAGCAACUGAGAAAGUUAUUCGCAAAAGAGCGACCAGUGGGAAGAAUGAGUCUGGAGGCUGAAUUGUCCAGCUCCCUGUCAAUGAUCAAGCACCCCCUCAGCACCUGUGUUCAUAAUUCUCUGGCCCCGCCCCUGGCUGCGGGAGAGAGAGUUGGGAGACGAGCGGUGAGUAAGAGGGUCAAAUGCAAAUAACAAACGCCUGUGUCUUGUUCCAGUAAUUGGCAUAGAUAGAUCGCAUAAAUAGGGCCGGGAAUGAAAUGGCAGGUAGAGAGAGACCGACUGCUGACUGGUGUGGAGACUGUGCCUGCUCUGGAGAGCCCUGUGUUUUUGCAUAUGCAACUGUUCUAUAUUGAGCGCGAUAUUCUUUUUAUUUCUUGAAAUGGAAUAAAAUCACUAGCAGCAGUCAAGCUGACCCCGUCCUCUUCCUUCUCAAUCAUUGACUUUGUUCACACCUUUGUGCUUCCAUGUGCAUUCCUUUUAUAUUUUAUUAAACAGAAGUACAGUACACUCAUGUUUUUGUAACUAAAUGUGAUUGCUUUUGCCUUAUAUAUACAUAUAUAAUAUCUUGGUUUCUCAUUUUGACCAAUAACUUGCACUAUGGUGGGAGGAGUGCAUGUAAAUUUGUUUAACCUUCUGACUUUUCAUAUUGAGGUAUAACAUUUAAAAUAAUCCCUGUGGUUUUGAUGCGAUGGAUUGAAAUGCAACCAUCUCAUGCCAAGGUUAUUUAUUAUACAUCACACUUUCAAGUGUCGGUUCAGAUCUUUAGGUGUGCAGGUGUGUUUGUAUUUUGCUUUUUUUUAUGUUAGUUGAUGUGUUGACAGCAAAUUGCUUGCUCAUUUAAAUGUGAAUGAAAGUGUUGUCUCUAUCCUUAGAUGAAAAAAAAAAAAAAAAACAGUUGACAUAAUAUGAUAUAGGUUGACUGGACUAGGAAAUAAUAGUCAAGACAAUUUAAACAAAUUCAUCAACUGGACUUAUUCCACUCUAAUGAGAAGUUGUUUCAACAAGAAAUAUAUUGUCAAGACAACAACAACAACAAUUUUAGGCAGCGGGGUAACAAACUAUUUUUAGUUGACUCAAAUUCUAUUUUACCUGGGAAUUUUUUUCUCUGUUGCUGUUUUGCAGUGUUGGUAAAUUCACCACUUAAUUUUGAAUUAAAAUGUGUUGUUGUAACGUGCCUUACGUUACAUUACUGCCUUACAAAAAAAAAAAAACCUUUUGUAACGUAUUACUCCCAACACUGAUCACGGUAAUGAACAUGCACAAUAUUUAUAUUGUUAUCAUGGGCACUUCAAGAUAUCAUGAAUAAUUAUUUAUUACAAAUUCUGAAUGCUUUUUAAGAAUAGUUUUCCCAUCAACUGGUCACAAUGCACAACACUCUGGGCGCUCUUGUGUAAACUAGCACGAAUGAGAAGUGCAUGAUGCGCUAAAUGAAAGUGCACAUUCACUCUCUGACAGCAGGUGGCGCUGAACAGCAGAAAUGCAGCCGUUACCCGGAAACAAAGCAGCGCUACUUUCGGAAACCUAUUUAAAUGAUUUAAACAGCCAUUCAGUUUUGUGUAUUCGCUAUAGUGUUCAUCACAGGCACUAUGCCAAACACUUAAAUAUUUACUCCCUGUGAAAUAUAACUUCAUAUAUAAUAAUUAAUAGGCUGGUUAUUUUUGAAAUUUGUACAUUUUAAUUUGGACUACAACAUGCCCUAGAUAUUAUUUGAAAGUACGUGCUAUCAGGUAUCCACCACUCUUAACAUAGUAAAGUAUUAACAAAUUUUAAUGUAAAAAAAUAAGGUCUAACUCAACAAUGUCCGUCCCCCAAAGCAGAGAAAACAUCUUUCACAAAUAUCUACAUGUCUGUCUUAACCCCACCCCAAACCACAAUAAUUUCAAACCCUGAUUAUGGCCAUGGACCUGAGAAACAUUUCCCUGUGAAUAUUUCAGCAGUUAUUAUUUGUAUCCCGUAUACAGUAUAUGUCCAAUAAAACAGCAAUGCCAAUCAUUCGUGAUUUAAUCAUUAUUUUGAGUCAGUUCUCUCUUUUUCAAAAUGACAAAUAUAGACUACUGCCACAUGCUGAUAAUGUUUAUUAUUAUGUCCUUUCACACAGCUGCAGAGCCAUUGGUUGUAGUCUUUGCAACAUGUUAUGGUUAAUAUGAUACUUUUAAUGCUAUUCCAUUAUAUAUAUAUAUAUAUAUAUGUGUGUGUGUAUAUAUAUAUAUAUAUAUAUAUAUAUAUAUAUAUAUAUAUUCCCUUUGGUGAGGACAUUAAAAGUUUAAACAUACUUUAUUCACUUUACAUUCCAAUACAUUUUUGUGUGUGCAUUUUAUUACAGGUUUUGUUGUAAAAAAAAAAAAAAAAGUGAUAAAUGUAAAGUACAAAAUAUACACAAAAUAACAACAUCCACUAUUUAUCAAUAAUGCAGAGCACAAACAAAACACUCUGGGAAAAAAAAAAAAAAAAAAAAAAAAAAAAACAUAUAUAUAUUUCUAACUUUUGACAAUGUUAACAUUAAUUGUUGUAGGACAAUGAAACACUGAAAUUAUUCAACACUGCCAAUGUAAUAUCGGUCACUGUUUGUGUUGUUCUCUGUCAGGUGGAUCCAAGAACAAGUUCUGUCUCAGCAGUUCAU